ACUGAGCCCUGCAGCUUUCAAGGUUCAGGACUGGCACUGCUUGAAGAGCCAGUGUGCAAGUACUGCACUAAGUUUACAGAAUACUGUGCCAGAAACCUCCUUAUUGAAGAAUUUAUUUUGUUAAAACUUUUGUUUGUCUGUUUGUUUUUGCAGUGAAACCUCAACCCCACCUGUUGGUUUUGGUGUGGGAUUUUUUUUUCAGAGAAGUUAUGAUUGGGUUAUAAAGCCAGUAAAAAAAAAAGCAGUAAAAUUUCCAGGACUUAAACUGCCAAGCACACAGAGAAGUUUUACAGAGAGCUCAGCCAGUGAGACAUAGUAAAUGUAGGGCAUCUAUCAUGCUUAAACCUUGUAAUGACCCAACAUAGUUUUAUCAUCAUCUGAACACAGCAGGAGAGUUAAAACCACACUGAACUCCAUUGGAGGAAGAGCACUCUAGGUGUUUACGAAGAACAUUACAAAAAGGAUAUGUUUGACACAAAAAAAAGCCCCCAUAAAUCCUAGGAUGAAAGCAGCUUUGUCUAUGCUAAAGGUUUAGCUAAGAUUAUUUUGCAAUCAAGGUAUGGCGUUCUCUCACCUUCGUCUUUCUUUUCAUUGUUUUCCCAGACAAGACUGAAGAGUAUCAUUAAUGCAAUUUCUAGAAGGCAUCUGUCAUCUGUCACAUGUGUUUAUAUAUCCAUGCCUACUGUGUGCAGACUGGGAAAUUCCCCUAGUGUCCUUGAGGGAGAAUAAAGACCACAGGGAUGAGCAGUGGCAUGACACCAGCUACCCAUGGAGCAGCAAUGUCUUCAAUGUUGCGUUGCACUCCAUACUCUUAGGACAAGUUAAUUAUCAGGUCUGGUUCCCCAGCCCCAGCCCCAGCAGUGGUGGAGCUGAGUGGCUGUGGGCACUUGAUACUGAUUAAAUUCUGCUGACUGAGGAAGAUGUCAAAUUCUACCCAAAGCAGAAAGCCGCCAAGGAAAAGCUGCUUUUCUUUGCUUUUGACAGCUGGAGCCAUGAAUUUAAGCAGAGGUCUCACCUUCAGGCAAGUCAACAGCUGGGCAGGGAGCAGUCUCUCUUAAAGAGAGAGUGCACCGCAUUUUGCUGGAGUUCAGUGUUGCCA
RNAcentral lists this long non-coding RNA (1099 nucleotides) under Cyanistes caeruleus (blue tit). RNAcentral describes it as "lncRNA (ENSCCEG00000014799.1)". The record is from RNAcentral. Lineage: Eukaryota; Metazoa; Chordata; Aves; Passeriformes; Paridae.